GAUGAACGCUAGCGGCAGGCCUAACACAUGCAAGUCGAGGGAGGAGCUUUCGGGCUUCGACCGGCGUACGGGUGCGUAACGCGUAUACAAUCUGCCUUUCACAUAGGGAUAGCCCGAAGAAAUUUGGAUUAAUACCUAAUGGUAUAUAGGAGUGGCAUCACAUUUAUAUUAAAGCUGAGGCGGUGAAAGAUGAGUAUGCGUUCUAUUAGCUAGUUGGAGAGGUAACGGCUCCCCAAGGCGACGAUAGAUAGGGGUUCUGAGAGGGAUAUCCCCCACACUGGGACUGAGAUACGGACCAGACUCCUACGGGAGGCAGCAGUGAGGAAUAUUGGACAAUGGUCGGAAGACUGAUCCAGCCAUGCCGCGUGCAGGAAGACGGCCUUAUGGGUUGUAAACUGCUUUUGCAGGGGAAGAAUAAGGACUACGAGUAGUUUGAUGACGGUACUCUGCGAAUAAGCAUCGGCUAACUCCGUG
This 474-nucleotide ribosomal RNA is filed under the name uncultured bacterium. RNAcentral's name for it is "partial 16S ribosomal RNA". It matches the Rfam family "Bacterial small subunit ribosomal RNA", at positions 28 to 507 of the family's 1533-position model. The record is from RNAcentral.